UCCAGUAAUGGUUAAACCCUGGGAGAAGAAAAUGUGACUGUGGAUGGUUUGAAGACCCAGGUUAGAGGUUCUUAAAGAAUGUUGGAAAUCCGCGCGGUGUCCCUGGGCGCCGGCUCGGCCACAGCAUCUGUAGCUGUAGAAGCCAGUGUGGCCCAGAAGCUCCCCACUGGCUGCACAUCUGAACAGCUUCAAGAGGACAAGUUUCCCCAUCAAAGAUUUCAAGACCAGCUCUGUCGAAUGGCUGAGACCCACCUUGCAAGGUAGUGGUGGG
Molecule: long non-coding RNA, 271 nt
Organism: Suricata suricatta (meerkat)
Lineage: Eukaryota; Metazoa; Chordata; Mammalia; Carnivora; Herpestidae
Exons: 3
Source: RefSeq, a predicted model, not a curated record